UCUAAUUCUUGGUUGGUCCAAGAUCUAGGUUGUCCCCCUGGAAGAACAAGCACCAAUAUUGCAUAACAAGCCUGAAUUAUCUCAGGAGUUCCCCCUUUGAAAUUGCAAACAUGAAGCAUUGGCAUUCGAAUUGCAGCAAUAGGCCCUGGCUCACCAGGGUCUCCACUGCUUGCAGCAGCAAGUGCUGAAUCAGGCCUAAGUAUGUUCACUCCAUCACUCCCUUUAAUCCUAGCAACAUCAGGAUCAGUAAUUGGUAUUGAACAAUUAUCCAUACUUGAAUAAUUACCCCCAUUCAACUCAUGGGUCAAAUUCAUCUCUGUUCUGAUCUCAUUAGGCAUCCACACUGCGCAAUUCUGCAACCCCAGUGUCUUAGAUAGCUCAACAAGGGUUGUAUAAAGAAUAGUAUGCCUAUCAAGCGAUUUUCGAAUCUCUUGAGUAAGCAUACGAACAUG
Molecule: unclassified non-coding RNA, 452 nt
Filed under: Hevea brasiliensis (rubber tree)
Lineage: Eukaryota; Viridiplantae; Streptophyta; Magnoliopsida; Malpighiales; Euphorbiaceae
Source: RNAcentral